CCAAACUUGGUCAUUUAGAGGAAGUAAAAGUCGUAACAAGGUUUCCGUAGGGUGAGUUAAUUCCUGCUUAUAUAUUUUUCAGUACUAACAAUUUCCAGUGAACCUGCGGAAGGAUCAUUACCGAGUAAUCCUGCUCUGCAGGAACUCCCACCCUUGAUUACAAUGGCGUUGCUUCGGCGAGACGUUGGAAACAGCCAUCGACCCUGUCGAUGUGUGCUCGCCGGAGUUCUAACUCUUGAAAUUAUGUGGAGUCAGAGAAAACAAGCAAUAUAUAAAAACUUUCAACAACGGAUCUCUUGGUUUUGGCAUCGAUGAAGAACGCAGC
This 325-nucleotide unclassified non-coding RNA is filed under the name uncultured fungus. RNAcentral's name for it is "partial contains small subunit ribosomal RNA, internal transcribed spacer 1, and 5.8S ribosomal RNA". The stretch from base 1 to 120 matches the Rfam family "Eukaryotic small subunit ribosomal RNA", at positions 1759 to 1831 of the family's 1831-position model. Lineage: Eukaryota; Fungi. The record is from RNAcentral.